Molecule: ribosomal RNA, 494 nt
Filed under: uncultured bacterium
Lineage: Bacteria
Description: partial 16S ribosomal RNA
Rfam family: Bacterial small subunit ribosomal RNA
Source: RNAcentral
AUUGAACGCUGGCGGAAUGCUUUACACAUGCAAGUCGAACGGUAGAGGGGCAACCCUCGAGAGUGGCGAACGGGUGAGUAAUGUAUCGGAACAUGCCCAAUCGUGGGGGAUAACGUAGCGAAAGUUACGCUAAUACCGCAUACGAACUACGGAUGAAAGCGGGGGAUCGCAAGACCUCGCGCGAUUGGAGUGGCCGAUAACAGAUUAGGUAGUUGGUGGGGUAAAGGCCUACCAAGCCGACGAUCUGUAGCUGGUCUGAGAGGACGACCAGCCACACUGGGACUGAGACACGGCCCAGACUCCUACGGGAGGCAGCAGUGGGGAAUUUUGGACAAUGGGCGCAAGCCUGUUCCAGCCAUUCCGCGUGCAGGAAGAAGUCCUUCGGGUUGUAAACUGCUUUUGUACGGAACGAAACGCGCUGUGCUAAUACCACGGCGUAAUGACGGUACCGUAAGAAUAAGCACCGGCUAACUACGUGCCAGCCGCCGCAGUAA